GCGUUAGACGAACGGUCUGGAAAGUCCGACGAUACAGGGUGAUAGUCCCGUAGUUGACGACGUGUGUUCAGUGAAAUCGAGUAGGGCGGGACACGUGAUAUCCUGUCUGAAUAUGGGGGGACCAUCCUCCAAGGCUAAAUACUACUGACUGACCGAUAGUGAACCAGUACCGUGAGGGAAAGGCGAAAAGAACCCCUGUGAGGGGAGUGAAAUAGAACCUGAAACCGUGUACGUACAAGCA
This 241-nucleotide ribosomal RNA is filed under the name Vibrio parahaemolyticus. Its description in RNAcentral is "partial 23S ribosomal RNA". It matches the Rfam family "Bacterial large subunit ribosomal RNA", at positions 326 to 572 of the family's 2925-position model. Lineage: Bacteria; Pseudomonadati; Pseudomonadota; Gammaproteobacteria; Vibrionales; Vibrionaceae. The record is from RNAcentral.